Molecule: unclassified non-coding RNA, 195 nt
Filed under: uncultured fungus
Lineage: Eukaryota; Fungi
Description: sequence contains ITS1
Source: RNAcentral
UUAAACUUAUUAAAAUACUCAGACAACACUAAAUCAAGAGUUUGAGAUCCUCUGGCAGGCGCUGACCAGCCGAAGCCGGCGGCCCAAAAGGCGGGCCUGCCAAAGCAACAAAAGGUAUGGUAAACAAAGGGUGGGAGAUCUACCCCGAGGGGCAGGUUCUCUGUAAUGAUCCUUCCGCAGGUUCACCUACGGAAA